RNAcentral lists this ribosomal RNA (506 nucleotides) under uncultured bacterium. RNAcentral's name for it is "partial 16S ribosomal RNA". It matches the Rfam family "Bacterial small subunit ribosomal RNA", at positions 30 to 523 of the family's 1533-position model. The record is from RNAcentral.
AUUGAACGCUGGCGGCAGGCCUAACACAUGCAAGUCGAACGGUAACAGGAAGCAGCUUGCUGCUUCGCUGACGAGUGGCGGACGGGUGAGUAAUGUCUGGGAAACUGCCCGAUGGAGGGGGAUAACUACUGGAAACGGUAGCUAAUACCGCAUAACGUCGCGAGACCAAAGAGGGGGACCUUCGGGCCUGUUGCCAUCGGACGUGCCCAGAUGGGAUUACCUUGUUGGUGAGGUAACGGCCCACCAAGGCGACGAUACCUAGCUGGUCAGAGAGGAUGACCAGCCACGCUGGAACUGAGACACGGUCCAGACUCCUACGGGAGUCAGCAGUGGGGAAUAUUGCACAAUGGGCGCAAGCCUGAUGCAGCCAUGCCGCGUGUAUGAAGAAGGCCUUCGGGUUGUAAAGUACUUUCAGCGGGGAGGAAGGCGGUGAAGUUAAUAGCUUCACCGAUUGACGUUACCCGCAGAAGAAGCACCGGCUAACUCCGUGCCAGCCGCCGCGGUAA